ACGGAGGGUGCAAGCGUUAAUCGGAAUUACUGGGCGUAAAGCGCACGCAGGCGGUUGGAUAAGUUAGAUGUGAAAGCCCCGGGCUUAACCUGGGAAUGGCGCUUGUGACUGCAAAGCUGGAGUGCGGCAGAGGGGGAUGGAAUUCCGCGUGUAGCAGUGAAAUGCGUAGAUAUGCGGAGGAACACCGAUGGCGAAGGCAAUCCCCUGGGCCUGCACUGACGCUCAUGCACGAAAGCGUGGGGAGCAAACAGGA
Molecule: ribosomal RNA, 253 nt
Filed under: uncultured prokaryote
Description: partial 16S ribosomal RNA
Rfam family: Bacterial small subunit ribosomal RNA
Source: RNAcentral